Ricinus communis (castor bean) is the source of this 818-nucleotide RNA transcript. It is a transcript of the gene named autophagy-related protein 8f, with no coding region annotated. The record is from RefSeq and is a predicted model, not a curated record. Lineage: Eukaryota; Viridiplantae; Streptophyta; Magnoliopsida; Malpighiales; Euphorbiaceae. The transcript has 7 exons.
AACGCGGUGGGAUUUUAUGGGUCUUUACCGCAUCCGUACCCGGUUAACCGGAGAGAAAUUAGAAACAACUAUAUAAUCCUCACUUUAAUUCUGAUAAACUCAUAAUCUACGUCUUUAUCCCCAAUUUUUUUUUUCAACUCCACUGUUUCCGAAUUUGAACGAAAAAUGACGAAGAGUAGCUUCAAGUUCGAACAUGAUUUUGAUUUAUAAUUAUACAGAGAAGAGGCGCGCUGAGGCGGUGAGAAUUAGGGCUAAAUAUCCAGAUAGAGUUCCGGUAAUUGUGGAGAAGGCUGAAAGAAGUGAUAUUCCUGACAUUGAUAAGAAAAAAUAUCUAGUCCCAGCUGACCUGACAGUGGGUCAGUUGGUCUAUGUAAUCCGGAAGAGGAUUAAACUGAGUGCAGAAAAGGCCAUUUUCAUAUUUGUGGACAAUGUCCUCCCACCAACUGGGGCAGUAAUGUCUACGAUCUAUGAUGAAAAGAAGGAUGAAGAUGGAUUUCUUUAUGUUACAUAUAGCGGAGAGAAUACAUUUGGGUAGUAGAUGCUGCCUUAGUUAAAGUGCCUUUAAUGUGUUGCAGUCUCUGAUAUGCCUACACUCAUAUCUAUUAUUCUGAUUUCCCACAUUGAUACUGCCAAGUGAUGUUACCACAAGAAUACAAGACAAAUGUUGCAAGUGAUGAAGAGAGCAGGGGAAGAUUCAUGUAAUGGAGGAAAGUUUUUAUGCGUAGUGGUUUCAUUAGGGUCUUGUGCAGAUACGUUACUGCCUUUUUGUCAUUUAACCUUUUUAUUUUUUUAACAAAGCUUUUAGUCAUUUAACUUAA